Molecule: transfer RNA, 86 nt
Filed under: Halioglobus sp. HI00S01
Lineage: Bacteria; Pseudomonadati; Pseudomonadota; Gammaproteobacteria; Cellvibrionales; Halieaceae
Description: tRNA-Tyr
Source: RNAcentral
GGCGGAGAGAACCUCUGGGAAGGAUACCAGACUGUAAAUCUGGGGCGUAACAGCAUUGGCGGGUUCGAAUCCCCCCUUCGCCACCA